Molecule: ribosomal RNA, 375 nt
Filed under: uncultured bacterium
Lineage: Bacteria
Description: bacterial SSU rRNA
Rfam family: Bacterial small subunit ribosomal RNA
Source: RNAcentral
CUAUGCGCCUUGCCAGCCCGCUCAGUCAGAGUUUGAUCCUGGCUCAGGACGAACGCUGGCGGCGUGCCUAAUACAUGCAAGUCGAACGCUUCUUUUCUACCGAGUGCUUGCACUCAAUUGAAAAGAGGAGUGGCGGACGGGUGAGUAACACGUGGGUAACCUACCCAUCAGAGGGGGAUAACACUUGGAAACAGGUGCUAAUACCGCAUAAUAGUCGACACCGCAUGGUGUUGAUUUGAAAGACGCUUUCGGGUGUCACUGAUGGAUGGACCCGCGGUGCAUUAGCUAGUUGGUGAGGUAACGGCUCACCAAGGCCAUGAUGCAUAGCCGACCUGAGAGGGUGAUCGGCCACACUGGGACUGAGACACGGCCCAG